GACGAACGCUGGCGGCGUGCCUAAUACAUGCAAGUCGAACGCAUUUUCUUUCACCGUAGCUUGCUACACCGAAAGAAAAUGAGUGGCGAACGGGUGAGUAACACGUGGGUAACCUGCCCAUCAGCGGGGGAUAACACUUGGAAACAGGUGCUAAUACCGCAUAAUUCCAUUUACCGCAUGGUAAAUGGAUGAAAGGCGCUUUUGCGUCACUGAUGGAUGGACCCGCGGUGCAUUAGCUAGUUGGUGGGGUAACGGCCUACCAAGGCUGCGAUGCAUAGCCGACCUGAGAGGGUGAUCGGCCACACUGGGACUGAGACACGGCCCAGACUCCUACGGGAGGCAGCAGUAGGGAAUCUUCGGCAAUGGACGCAAGUCUGACCGAGCAACGCCGCGUGAGUGAAGAAGGUUUUCGGAUCGUAAACCUCUGUUGUUAGAGAAGAACAAGGAUGAGAGUGGAAAGUUCAUCCCUUGACGGUAUCUAACCAGAAAGCCACGGCUAACUACGU
This 506-nucleotide ribosomal RNA is filed under the name uncultured bacterium. RNAcentral describes it as "partial 16S ribosomal RNA". It matches the Rfam family "Bacterial small subunit ribosomal RNA", at positions 28 to 506 of the family's 1533-position model. The record is from RNAcentral.